RNAcentral lists this ribosomal RNA (1906 nucleotides) under Escherichia coli. Its description in RNAcentral is "partial 23S ribosomal RNA". It matches the Rfam family "Bacterial large subunit ribosomal RNA", at positions 1 to 1933 of the family's 2925-position model. Lineage: Bacteria; Pseudomonadati; Pseudomonadota; Gammaproteobacteria; Enterobacterales; Enterobacteriaceae. The record is from RNAcentral.
GUUAAGCGACUAAGCGUACACGGUGGAUGCCCUGGCAGUCAGAGGCGAUGAAGGACGUGCUAAUCUGCGAUAAGCGUCGGUAAGGUGAUAUGAACCGUUAUAACCGGCGAUUUCCGAAUGGGGAAACCCAGUGUGAUUCGUCACACUAUCAUUAACUGAAUCCAUAGGUUAAUGAGGCGAACCGGGGGAACUGAAACAUCUAAGUACCCCGAGGAAAAGAAAUCAACCGAGAUUCCCCCAGUAGCGGCGAGCGAACGGGGAGCAGCCCAGAGCCUGAAUCAGUGUGUGUGUUAGUGGAAGCGUCUGGAAAGGCGCGCGAUACAGGGUGACAGCCCCGUACACAAAAAUGCACAUACUGUGAGCUCGAUGAGUAGGGCGGGACACGUGGUAUCCUGUCUGAAUAUGGGGGGACCAUCCUCCAAGGCUAAAUACUCCUGACUGACCGAUAGUGAACCAGUACCGUGAGGGAAAGGCGAAAAGAACCCCGGCGAGGGGAGUGAAAAAGAACCUGAAACCGUGUACGUACAAGCAGUGGGAGCACGCUUAGGCGUGUGACUGCGUACCUUUUGUAUAAUGGGUCAGCGACUUAUAUUCUGUAGCAAGGUUAACCGAAUAGGGGAGCCGAAGGGAAACCGAGUCUUAACUGGGCGUUAAGUUGCAGGGUAUAGACCCGAAACCCGGUGAUCUAGCCAUGGGCAGGUUGAAGGUUGGGUAACACUAACUGGAGGACCGAACCGACUAAUGUUGAAAAAUUAGCGGAUGACUUGUGGCUGGGGGUGAAAGGCCAAUCAAACCGGGAGAUAGCUGGUUCUCCCCGAAAGCUAUUUAGGUAGCGCCUCGUGAAUUCAUCUCCGGGGGUAGAGCACUGUUUCGGCAAGGGGGUCAUCCCGACUUACCAACCCGAUGCAAACUGCGAAUACCGGAGAAUGUUAUCACGGGAGACACACGGCGGGUGCUAACGUCCGUCGUGAAGAGGGAAACAACCCAGACCGCCAGCUAAGGUCCCAAAGUCAUGGUUAAGUGGGAAACGAUGUGGGAAGGCCCAGACAGCCAGGAUGUUGGCUUAGAAGCAGCCAUCAUUUAAAGAAAGCGUAAUAGCUCACUGGUCGAGUCGGCCUGCGCGGAAGAUGUAACGGGGCUAAACCAUGCACCGAAGCUGCGGCAGCGACGCUGAUGCGUUGUUGGGUAGGGGAGCGUUCUGUAAGCCUGUGAAGGUGUGCUGUGAGGCAUGCUGGAGGUAUCAGAAGUGCGAAUGCUGACAUAAGUAACGAUAAAGCGGGUGAAAAGCCCGCUCGCCGGAAGACCAAGGGUUCCUGUCCAACGUUAAUCGGGGCAGGGUGAGUCGACCCCUAAGGCGAGGCCGAAAGGCGUAGUCGAUGGGAAACAGGUUAAUAUUCCUGUACUUGGUGUUACUGCGAAGGGGGGACGGAGAAGGCUAUGUUGGCCGGGCGACGGUUGUCCCGGUUUAAGCGUGUAGGCUGGUUUUCCAGGCAAAUCCGGAAAAUCAAGGCUGAGGCGUGAUGACGAGGCACUACGGUGCUGAAGCAACAAAUGCCCUGCUUCCAGGAAAAGCCUCUAAGCAUCAGGUAACAUCAAAUCGUACCCCAAACCGACACAGGUGGUCAGGUAGAGAAUACCAAGGCGCUUGAGAGAACUCGGGUGAAGGAACUAGGCAAAAUGGUGCCGUAACUUCGGGAGAAGGCACGCUGAUAUGUAGGUGAAGCGACUUGCUCGUGGAGCUGAAAUCAGUCGAAGAUACCAGCUGGCUGCAACUGUUUAUUAAAAACACAGCACUGUGCAAACACGAAAGUGGACGUAUACGGUGUGACGCCUGCCCGGUGCCGGAAGGUUAAUUGAUGGGGUCAGCGCAAGCGAAGCUCUUGAUCGAAGCCCCGGUAAACGGCGG